GAAUCUUCCCCCUUCUCUCUGUUCGAUACUCAUGAACCCCAUGCUUAGUAAUUUGAACUCUUUACUUGUACUUCGCUGUUGCUUAUUCCCAUUAAUACACCCUCCACCCUCUGUCUUCUCCCUGUAUCUCUCUUUCCUAAAGGUUACCAUUCAUUCUUCUUUAUCAUACCAUUUCCAGCAGCCACCUUGUAGAGAAGGUUCAUUAAAUUUUUGUACAAUACUACAUACAAUAAUGAACCUUGUGUACAAAUUGGCUGCAGGAUGGUAUGAACCUCACAGUUCUGGUCGCCUUGGUGCGGCCGUAAUGUUUGUCCUAUCCAUAAUAUUUGGAAGGUCCUGCCUCUUAUUAUUAUUAUUUUUUAACUUCCAGUCUUAAGCAAUUGUCUGAUCUAUUAUAGCACGGAUGUGCUUUAGUAUAAUUGUCUGAUCAUAAUUACUUUCAAUUUACAAGGACUGCACAACAAAACUACCAUGGAUGGUACUCUUGAAAGGCUUUUUCUGCAGGCUAUUUGGGUAACUAAUUUUCCAUCUUCUUAUUACAAUAUCAUAUAAAAUUUGGGUUUUCCCCCUCAAAUUUAGUUUUCCUUACGUGCAAGUGCAACAAGAAAUCCUUUUGGAAAGUUUUAGUUAAGUGGAUGAGUUACGAUUUUAUAUGCACAUAUGUGUUCUGAAUAUUCGAUAGUUGGUCAUUCAAUCGGCCUCUGUUGUUAUUUACUCAAUACAGUAAAUAUUUGCAGAGUACGGGAGCUUUGUUUGUUCAAAUUGGUCUUGGAUAUAUUGGAAUGGUGUUGAAUUUGAAAAUGAUCAAUUUUGGGUCUCUUGUCUUUCUACAUGUCAGUUUAAAUAUUUGCAGUUAGCAGGGAGGUUUUCUUUGGGAUAUAUAAUAGGCUAGUGCUGAAGCUGGCUCUUUUAUUCGUAUAUAUAUCAUCUUUCAUAGCAAUUUAGAUUUAUGAGUCUAAUUCAGAUCAAAAAAAGAUUUAUGAGUCUAAUGAAAAAUCAUCAUUUUUUCCUUUUUAAAAAAAAAUUGUCAUUCAAAUGGUAAUUGACAUAAAUUUAGAGAUUUGUUUGUAGGUUUUUUUUUUUUUUUUUAGGUGCAUUAAAAUAGAAAAAAGUCAUGUUUGUAACUUUUUACACUCACCUAUGCUUCUUAUGUGUUUUCGAUCAAAAAUGCUUCUUACGUGUUUAUUUAUCUCCUAAUAUUUUAACGCAACUAAUUUUAAUUGUAACAUUUGAUUUAUUGGUUACUUGAUUUUUAAAUUUUUUGAAUAAUAAUGUACCUAUUUCGUGAUUUAUUAAAAACAGCAUAUCAAAUUUUUUCUUUUUUAUGAAUGAUAAUAUACCUAUUAAUUUUCUAGUUUACCUGUUAAUUUUAUGGAUAAUAAUAUACCUAUUAUCUUUUUUCAAUAAUAAUUUAUCUAUUAUUUUUUUGUGAUAUUUAAUGUGAAUUUCCAUAUACUUGACUAAACCCUAGAUUAGUCUUUAUUGUGCUUAUCGAUAUUGUGUUAUGGUGUUGUGUGAUUCAUUAAUCGCAAAACAUUUAGUUGGUAUAUUAGGUAUUGAAUUAUUCCAAGUAUUGGAGUUGUAGUGAAAUUAGUAAGUAUAUUAGUAGUAUGUAAAUUGUAUAGGUAAAUAAUUUUAAAGUUUACCGUGCCAUAGUUAAAUAAUUAUUAAUAAAAUCUAGGUAAACUAGGUAAAUUAGGUGAAAAUGUGGUAGGUUUAUGUCUCGAAUAUAGGAGUUACAUGGACUUUUCUUCACGUGACUAAAAUAUUUGGGCCUCAAACCUUUUCGAAGAGGGAGACGGACUGACCUUUUCGUAGUUUGGUUCUUUUACUAAAGCAGAGCUCAUCAAUCAAUUGGGUAUUUGAAUUACGUGGAAACCAGGCGGUGAGACACUGAAAUUGGAUUUUGCAUGUCUCCAUAAAAAAUAAUAAAUAAAUAAAAACACUCUUUGCAUGUCUCUCCAAAAAAAAAAAAAAAAACACUCUUUGCAUGCCUCUAAAAUAAAAAAUAAAAAAACAACACUUUUUGCAUGUCUCUAAAAACAGUUCCUAGUCUACCUACUUCUAUACUCAGUCCUAACAAUCUACUACCUGCGCACUGAUACCAAUUCUGUCACGCCUCAAAACUGAAGUGUGAAUUAAAGGGAUGCAUAAACGAUUAAAUGACAAAUAAAAAUAAUAGAAUAGAAAGUUUAAUGGAAGAAAUCAACAAAAUUAAACAAGUUAAAAUGGUUAGAAAAUUUCUCAUUGAUUUUACUAGCCACAAAGAAAAAUCUGUAGCGACGUCCAGUAAGAUAAAAUGCACCAAAAAUUGAGCUUUGCACCAAUAGGAACGAAAAUUUCCAAGACAUGUGAAACUAUAAUGUGUCAAAAUUUCAAAGAAUUCUGAGUACAAAUGACAUUUCAAAAUGCUCAAUGCAAAUAAGCUAAACUGCAGGAUUUUGAAAAUUUCUGCUGUAUAAGUUAUGCUAUGAAAACAUAUUUGAAACCAUAAGAUUUAAAGUCUGUUUUGGUCUCAAAACAUGCUGGAAGGGAUUUGGUAGCAGUAAGGCCCUCCAGUCAUAGGGCUAAAUGUAGUCUAAAGCUAAAAAUUUAGCCCUCCAAAAUAUUAAUUUUUUAAAGAAUAGUAUAGGGCUAAAUUUUUCCAUUUCCAGGCUCCAGCCAUGCAAGGCUAUAUUUUAGGGUCCUUCAUAUUUUAUUAUUUUGAGAAAAACUAUGGUACAACGCUCAUACAUUUCACAAUUAUAUAUUGUUUAAUUUAAUUAAACUACUAUUUAGAGACAAUAUUCCAUAUAUGUGACCACAUUAUAAAAUUAAAAAAAAGGUUUCAAUGGUCUGAUCUCCAACGGUAAUGACCAAGAAAUUUUUAUAUAUUUUUUUAAACAACACUUGAAAACAUUUAAAAAGGUGACCACAUUUUAUAAAUUUUUAUAAAAUAAAAUAAAUAAAUAAAGGAUGGGUUUCAAUGGUCUAACCUCCAAUGAUCAUGACCAAUAUUUUUUUUUAUACUUUUUUCUUAAACAACACGAAUUGAAACAUUUAAAAAGGCUUUAAAAAAUAUAUACACUCUAAUGUUGGCUGUUGAAAAGCAAAUGCAUGGGGCUCACAAAAAAUUUGGCCUAGGCUAAAGCUGGGCUACAUUUGGCCCGGUUGGAGGGCUAAAGGGACAAAUUUGGCCCUCCAAAUUUGGCCAGAAUUUUGUUUAGCCCAUGGCUGGAGAUGAGUUUUGCAUUAUUUUAGGGCUAUAUUUGGGAUAUAGCCCAUGGCUGGAGAUGGCCUAACAUAUCAAUAUCACAACACUAUACCGUCCACACAUAGAGCCUUACCCAUGAAAAUUGGGUCAUUGUGCCCAUACCAUUUGAAAAUUUACGGAUCAUUGUUGGUGAUGAGAAAUUAGACUACCAAAAACUGUUUCGUCAUCUAAUUGUUGUUGUGUUCCUUCCAAGUGCCAAUAUAUGGUUAGUAUAGUGGUACAAGUAAGGGUGCUGAACCACAGGGACCGAUUGGACCUCUAUAAAUUACUAGUUUUGAAAGAACUCUAACUAAAAAUGAAGGUGACAAAUUGGAAGUAGCUUUUGUGUUGUAAAUGAAAAAUAACUUAAAAUGUAAGAAGAAUGUAGCAGUGAAUGAUAUAUUGAUGUAGAAAGAAUAGGGAUGAGACUAGGGAUUUCGAAUUCACCAUUGCAAAACCAAUUUCGUGUUUAUAAAGUUAAACCAUAUUCAACUACCAACCUGUUUCUAGAAUUCGUUUUACAUAUAUAUGAUCAGCCAUAUGAUGUGUGGUUUUGAUCAAAUUCUCCUAAUCUACAACCUAAUUGGGAUGUUCAACUUUGGUUCCAUGUUAAGAGUCAUUAGCAUGCAAGAAAACGUUAAAGAACCAAAGAAAAUACAUGGCAAGAUGUUUGCAUAGCAUUCUCUUCAUUCAUUCACAUGUCUACCAAGAUUAAGCAUGAUAUUUAUUAUAACCUUGUCCAAAUAAUUUGUAGGCAACCCUAAUGGUGAUCAAACAUUAAAAUUGACAAACAAAUUUAACAAUAGUUUCAGUGAAUGAAACAAGAAGCAAAUUGAUGAACUGAAUACUUUAACUUAGAAACAUGGAUCAAUGUUGCAAGGCUACAUCGAAAUCUCCAUAUACGAAUUUAGUUACACAUCAUGUUCACCGAGAUUAAAACGAAAAUAAACAACAUGAGUGAAAAUAAAUUCAAGAGAGGAAACCCUUGAACCAAUUCUGAUGUUGAACUUCUCCAAGAACAGCCUCCUGCGAUGAGUCAUGAUGGUGGAAAUAUAUGGACGGCUAGAGUUUAAGUGUGCAUGAAAGGAGAGAAUAACCAAAAAGGAGGGCUAGGGUUAUGAAAUUCGUCUAGAAUAAAUAGGGUCUGUAAAAGUGGCUAAAAGAUAAGUUUUUAUGGGUUAAAAGAGGCUGCAAGAUAUUCCAAAGAGAUCUAACAAAUCAGCCUCUAUUUUGCACGUUUUUGCCUUAUUUGGCACCUCCAAAUCAGGCUAGAAAUUCCCAUUGCUUUCCCAUUUUGCUCUUAGUCUUCAAACAAGCUAGGUUUGCCUUGGAUUCUUUAUUUGCACUUCAAAACAGGUCACAAAAUUUGUUUUCACGUUUGAAUAAGGGUCAGCUCCAAAAAUGGCAUGUUUUCAUUUCUUUUGCCUUCAACUUGAUCCUAAAGUAGAUGCAACUGCAUACUAACACAAAAUAGGGUAAAACGCAACAAUUUAACUCAAAAAAUCACAAAUAGACUAGAAGUGUGGUAUAAAUGUAUAAAUAUAUGAGUUAUUAAUUGUGCCAUACAAUAUCAAUGAAUAUGGUGCUUUAAGAAAGUACUAAAAUUUCAAUAACUCAAUUAAGUGAUCAAAUGAUAUCGGAUUUAAGUGAUUUUUUUUGUAGAGAUGAUCUUUGAAUGAUUUCAUUUUGCAUUGUAAACAUAGUAAAGAAGACUUGCGCAUAUUGUGGAAGUAUUGAACAACAAUAUGUUUUGCGCGUUGUUGUACAUAUUAUUAACGACGUUUAUCUGCGUGUUGUUGUUUACAUUUUAACAACCCUCUUUGCAUGUUUCUCCCAAAAAAAAAUAAAAAACACUCUUUGCAUGUCUCUCAAAAAAGAUAAAAACACUCUUUGCAUGUCUCUCAAAAAAAAUUAAAAAUAACUACACUCUACCAACAUUGAACCAAAAACUGAGUACUGCAUAAUGAGAAGAGAGUUUAUCAAAUGUAGAAACUGAAAUUUUGGAUACUAAAAUCUAAGAAAGAGAAGAAUAUCCAUAUUUGUAAAGUCCAUUAUGGCAAAUUUUUUUUUUAAAAAGAUGCUUGCGCUUGUGAACACAGAUGCACAAGAAAUGAAAGUUAAUUUGGGAUGAUACCCUUAAAAUAAAUAUAAAUGAUAAAAGAAACUUAACACUUACGGCAGCAACAGUGAUGUCCAAGUCUUCCAUUAUUCCGGAUCUUCAGCUGCGGUGGGUAGUUCUAUUGGGAAUGAAUGUGAUUAAAUUAAAUUAUUAUCAAAUUACUAAAUGCCCUUCAGUGCUAAAAUCACUUAUUUUCGUAUUUUAUCUUUCCGUUUGAUAAAAUUAGAAAAAUCUGAUUUUUCUACGGCUUGUCUUUUUCAACCAAAAUGUCUAUGUCCCUUUUUUUUUUUUUUUUUAUUUAUUUAUUUAAUUUUUUUUUAUACAAAUAAUAGUCUAAAAAUACUAUGAAUUAAUCUAAAAUUUAUCUAAUCUAACCGGGGGAUGUCUGCGGCCUAUGACCUUGUUAAGUAAGAUAAAAGAUUUAAAACUUAGGCUAAUUUAGUAAUUUAACUUACUACUCACAAGACCUAAUUAAUCUACCUCAACUAUUUACCUACUUGUUCUAUUUUUUUAGUAAUUUCUAUUUGUAGCUUCAAUCACACAUGCUUAAGCCAAAAAAAUAAAAAUAAAAGAGAACUGAUCUUCUUAUUGAAUUAACCCAAGUUUUUUGUGUGGUAAUCAACCAUUAAGCAAGCUGCGUUGUGUUUUACUCGUUUGUCCUUUCAAUGUGCUUUGCUGCAUCAAAUUGUUAAUAAUGAUAAAUAAAUAAAAAGAUUAAAUGUUCCUUUUAGAAAAGAAUUAGGAGACUUAUCUGUUCAACCAUUAGACUUAAACAUAUGAUUCUGGUUCUGAAAAAAAUUAUACAAUUACAAAUGCUUUUUGAACUCUUUACUUGUCUUGUACUUAGCUGUUUCUUAUUCCUAUUAAUACACCCUCCAUCCACCCUCUGUCUUCUCCCUGUAUCUCUCUUUCCAAAAGGUUACCAGUCAUUCUUCUUUAUCAUACCAUCUCCAGCAGCCACUUUGUAGAGAAGGUUCAUUUGAUUUUUGUACAAAUACAAUUCACAAUAAUGAACCUUGUGUACAAAUUGGCUGCUGGGAUGGUAUGAACCUCACAGUUCUGGUCGCCGCAUGUGUUUUGGUGUGGCUGCUUGUCUCUCCCCCUCUUUCUUUUACUGUAUCCUCCUCAUCCUCUGUGGUGAUUCUGCCUCACCAUCUGUGGUGAUUUUUCUUGGGAUUUAUGCUCAUUUCUAGAGGUUCUUCGUCUAUUGGUGUCUCUUAUCGCCACCUCUCUACCACAGAUCUCCGCUCCUCGUGUUCACGGAUGCCUUUCAAAAGCAUGCAUAAGCGCGCGUUGGAGCGAGGGGGAGAGAAAUCUCCCUAGGCGUACGAAUGUUUAGCUUGUUGCACGCUUAGCGUGGCGAUUCGUGGAAGGCGCGAAGAAGCGCCUCUGUCUGCAAGCCAAAGCGCGAGGAAGAAGACGACCUCGCUUGAAUUUUUCUGUUUUGGUUUGUUUUAAUACGACGUCGUU
RNAcentral lists this long non-coding RNA (6821 nucleotides) under Prunus persica (peach). RNAcentral describes it as "long non-coding RNA (PPER_LNC007166)". The record is from RNAcentral. Lineage: Eukaryota; Viridiplantae; Streptophyta; Magnoliopsida; Rosales; Rosaceae.